UAUAGCUCCCAUGAAGCUGUCACAAUAAAAUGCCUCCCCCCCGGGGUCCCCUGGGUAAGCACCAGCGUUGUAUAUUGCUAACGCCUUUAUAUGCAUUGGAAAGUACCUUGGAAAGACUUGAAGGUGUGAGUGUGGAGCGAAAGAUUCCUUUGUAGAUUACGAGAGGCCAAAGGGGGAGGAAGGAAGAAAGGAACAGGUUAACUCAACGAUCCAGCUAGGCCCGAAGAUAAGAAACGAAACUGCAGCGCAAGGCAAGCGCACACAAACAAGCUCUGUGCUGCCAAACAGCCAGAUGCCUGUGUCUCAAUCCCGGCCAGCCGUGAAAAAGGAGACCUGAGCCAGACAGAACUGAAGGGGUUGCAAAACUAGUAAGAUUGGAAAAGUCGGUGAGAGCCUAAGGACACCCCUAGA
Dermochelys coriacea (leatherback sea turtle) is the source of this 411-nucleotide long non-coding RNA. RefSeq lists it as uncharacterized. Lineage: Eukaryota; Metazoa; Chordata; Testudines; Dermochelyidae. The record is from RefSeq and is a predicted model, not a curated record. The transcript is spliced from 3 exons.